Molecule: ribosomal RNA, 293 nt
Filed under: uncultured bacterium
Lineage: Bacteria
Description: partial 16S ribosomal RNA
Rfam family: Bacterial small subunit ribosomal RNA
Source: RNAcentral
UGCAUCCUACGGGGCGCAGCAGUGGGGAAUAUUGCACAAUGGGGGAAACCCUGAUGCAGCAACGCCGCGUGAGUGAAGAAGUAUUUCGGUAUGUAAAGCUCUAUCAGCAGGGAAGAAAAUGACGGUACCUGAGUAAGAAGCCCCGGCUAACUACGUGCCAGCAGCCGCGGUAAUACGUAGGGGGCAAGCGUUAUCCGGAUUUACUGGGUGUAAAGGGAGCGUAGACGGCGAUGCAAGUCUGAAGUGAAAGCCCGGGGCUCAACCCCGGGACUGCUUCGGAAACUGUAUGGCUG